Molecule: ribosomal RNA, 377 nt
Filed under: uncultured Planctomycetota bacterium
Lineage: Bacteria; Pseudomonadati; Planctomycetota
Description: bacterial SSU rRNA
Rfam family: Bacterial small subunit ribosomal RNA
Source: RNAcentral
UAAUACAGAGGGCUCAAGCGUUAAUCGGAAUCACUGGGCUUAAAGGGUCCGCAGGCGGAUUAGCAAGUGUCUUGUGAAAUACCAUCGCUCAACGAUGGAAUUGCUAGGCAAACUGCUAAUCUUGAACACGACAGGGGCUAUCGGAACUCUAGGUGGAGCGGUGAAAUGCGUAGAUAUCUAGAGGAACGCCAAAGGCGAAGGCAGAUAGCUGGGUCGUUGUUGACGCUCAGGGACGAAAGCGUGGGUAGCGAACGGGAUUAGAUACCCCGGUAGUCCACGCCCUAAACGAUGUACACUAGAUUGCGGAGGUUUUGACGCCAUCGCGGUCGAAGCAAAAGUAUUAAGUGUACCGCCUGGGGAGUACGGUCGCAAGGCUA